AGGAUUAACGCUGGCGGCGUGCCUAACACAUGCAAGUCGAACGAGGUAGCAAUACCUAGUGGCAGACGGGUGAGUAACGCGUGGUCAACCUACCGUUGAGUGGGGGAUAACUAGCCGAAAGGUUAGCUAAUACCGCAUACGAGUCUCGGGGGCAUCCCUGGGACUUAAAAGGAGCAAUCCGCUCGAUGACGGGACCGCGUCCCAUUAGCUAGAUGGUGGGGUAACGGCCUACCAUGGCACCGAUGGGUAGCUGGUUUGAGAGAGCGACCAGCCACACUGGGACUGAGAAACGGCCCAGACUCCUACGGGAGGCAGCAGUGAGGAAUUUUCCGCAAUGGGCGAAAGCCUGACGGAGCGACGCCGCGUGUGGGAAGAAGGCCUUCGGGUCGUAAACCACUGUCGAAGGGGACGAUAAUGACGGUACCCUUGGAGGAAGCCCCGGCUAACUACGCGCCAGCAGCCGC
This 464-nucleotide ribosomal RNA is filed under the name uncultured bacterium. Its description in RNAcentral is "SSU rRNA". It matches the Rfam family "Bacterial small subunit ribosomal RNA", at positions 26 to 518 of the family's 1533-position model. The record is from RNAcentral.